GUUGAGGCUAGAGUCCACACUUGAGUAUUGCUAUUGCGUUAGUGUGCUAGAGUCCUUGAAGAAUGAAUGCUGACUUUAUUCACUGGCUGCAGGCCUCAUGGCACAGUCAGUCCCCAGGUUAGUGACAUGC
Molecule: small nucleolar RNA, 130 nt
Filed under: Castor canadensis (American beaver)
Lineage: Eukaryota; Metazoa; Chordata; Mammalia; Rodentia; Castoridae
Description: Small nucleolar RNA SNORA3/SNORA45 family (ENSCCNG00000022098.1)
Rfam family: Small nucleolar RNA SNORA3/SNORA45 family
About the family: The members of this family belong to the H/ACA class of snoRNAs which are thought to guide the sites of modification of uridines to pseudouridines. This family includes mouse snoMBI-28 and human homologues ACA3 (SNORA3) and ACA3-2 (SNORA45).
Source: Rfam by way of RNAcentral